Molecule: long non-coding RNA, 289 nt
Organism: Aethina tumida (small hive beetle)
Lineage: Eukaryota; Metazoa; Arthropoda; Insecta; Coleoptera; Nitidulidae
Exons: 2
Source: RefSeq, a predicted model, not a curated record
CUUUCAAACACAUCCCAGGCAUUAAAUUCGGAUCAGGCGACAAGGCUGUUUGAUUUUGGUCGUUGCUGUGUACAUCAGAUGCAGUUGUACAGCAAAUGUCGCGCCAGCCCAGGCCUUACCUACAAGUAUAGGCCAUGUGCACCGUUAAAACCUCCAGGAAAAACCAACCCCUUGAGGCCCAGAUCUGGGAUGCCCUCACCCACACAGACCGGAACAGAGUCCAUCCUCGAACUAGUCAGACUUACCAUGUACCAUUUAAACUGACUAUACAAUAUAUAUUUCAAAGUUA